UACGUAGGGUGCGAGCGUUAAUCGGAAUUACUGGGCGUAAAGCGUGCGCAGGCUGUUCUGUAAGUCAGAUGUGAAAUCCCCGAGCUCAACUUGGGAACUGCGUUUGAAACUACAGGACUAGAAUAUGUCAGAGGGGGGUAGAAUUCCACGUGUAGCAGUGAAAUGCGUAGAGAUGUGGAGGAAUACCGAUGGCGAAGGCAGCCUCCUGGGCCAACACUGACGCUCAUGCACGAAAGCGUGGGGAGCAAACAGG
RNAcentral lists this ribosomal RNA (253 nucleotides) under uncultured bacterium. Its description in RNAcentral is "partial 16S ribosomal RNA". It matches the Rfam family "Bacterial small subunit ribosomal RNA", at positions 524 to 776 of the family's 1533-position model. The record is from RNAcentral.